UUUAGACUCUGGGAAGUCCAGAGUGCUUGGACAGCUGCUACAGACAGGACUGCUUUUCCAUGACAAGAUUUGAAGAAGAGAGAUUUUCAACAAUCAAAAAGCUUUCUGAGCUUUGUGGAGGCCACCCAGAGGUUCAUGGCACCAGCUACCCAGAAUGUGACCUACAAAGAGCUUGGCUCCAACUCUCCCUUGACAUGCUCGUGCAGAAACACAGGCUUGGAUCUUCUCUAAAGAAAAGUAGCAGCAUGAAGAGUUCCAGGCAGUGGUGGAAAUGAAGUACCUUCCCCUCACAGACCCGCCCAGAGUGAUCAUGGCAUCAGCACCUCCGAAUCGCUGCUAUUUUAGCCUCCUCAUCUCCUUCAUCCAGAACAUGAAGCCAGUUAUCAUAGAGGGAACCAGUAAACAGGCUUGCAGGGAUGUUUUGAAGAAAAUCC
Molecule: non-coding RNA, 434 nt
Organism: Oryctolagus cuniculus (rabbit)
Lineage: Eukaryota; Metazoa; Chordata; Mammalia; Lagomorpha; Leporidae
Source: RefSeq, a predicted model, not a curated record